Molecule: ribosomal RNA, 320 nt
Filed under: Escherichia coli
Lineage: Bacteria; Pseudomonadati; Pseudomonadota; Gammaproteobacteria; Enterobacterales; Enterobacteriaceae
Description: bacterial SSU rRNA
Rfam family: Bacterial small subunit ribosomal RNA
Source: RNAcentral
AGCUUGCUGCUUCGCUGACGAGUGGCGGACGGGUGAGUAAUGUCUGGGAAACUGCCUGAUGGAGGGGGAUAACUACUGGAAACGGUAGCUAAUACCGCAUAACGUCGCAAGACCAAAGAGGGGGACCUUCGGGCCUCUUGCCAUCGGAUGUGCCCAGAUGGGAUUAGCUAGUAGGUGGGGUAACGGCUCACCUAGGCGACGAUCCCUAGCUGGUCUGAGAGGAUGACCAGCCACACUGGAACUGAGACACGGUCCAGACUCCUACGGGAGGCAGCAGUGGGGAAUAUUGCACAAUGGGCGCAAGCCUGAUGCAGCCAUGC